CCGCACUAAAAAAGACUAUUAUUCGUUCGCUCCAGAUUUUUCAUUUUUAUCCUGCUUACAAUUUAUCCUUCGUCUCGUUUUGCGAUGGCCUCCGCCGAGAUCGCGGAGAUUGAGUUCCGAUAGUUCGGCGGUGAGCUCCUCUGGACCACCGACAAUGAGGCACUGGAGAGGGCCUUUUCCUCCUCCUGUGAAAGAUAUCGAAUCGAAGAUCAUCGAGGACGGUCAGAUCGGUAGGUCGAGGUGCUUCGGAUUCGUUACCAGCAACAUGCGAAUGCGAUCCAAGGAGGCCAGAACCUUGAUUUGAGGGUUAGUGUUCUUCUCCAAUGUUAGAGCGGGUGUUCUUUUGCGAUCUUUGUGUUAGCUAAUUUUAUAUUGCGAUGUUAGGGUUAGCUAGCGCUCUUUUUCCAUUGCGAUAUUAGCGUUGUUUUGCGAUUGCUAGGGUUAGAUAACUUUCUUUUGUGGUUGCAAUGGUAGGGUUAAUUAGCGUUCUUUGCGAUUGCAGUGUUAGGGUUAGCUAGUGUUCUUUUGCGAUUGCGAUGUUAGGGCGAGCUAGUGUUCUUCCGUGAUGUUAGUGUUUUUCUGUAUAAAUGAUAGAGGGGCUUUGCAUGUAUCAGGUGUGGCUUUUUGCAAUGUUGUUUAUAAACCGUGGCCCAUAGACUUAAGUGAAAAUAAUGUCGUUUGUUGCAGACAUCUGGUCUUUUUGGUUGUGGUGCCCUUGCUCAUGUUGGUGUGAUGGACUUGCAGUGGUUCCCACGAAUGUACCAUAGGUUAGUUUACAUAUUUUUGCAACAUGGUUUGAUGUAUAAACAUUUGGCUUAUCCUUCCUUCUCCUCCCAUCUAUUUCUGGUAAUCACUUUUUCAUUAUGUCAGGUGACCAUGGGAACAACAUGGGAGGCAACCUCACCACUAGCUUUCCAGAUCACGAUGACCUAUUUGCACCAUUACACCUUUUGUAGUUAUUAAAGGUUGGUCUCUAUCAACAUAGUCAAUAUAUUUAUUGAAUGGGAAUAUAAAUGCUAGUUUUGAUGCUCAACAUGUGCCAAGACUACCAUAUUCAGUUCUGGUGUCAAUGGUUGAACAUUCAUAAUAUUUAGUACAGUAAUUCUAUGUAUGAUAUUAUAUCUCAUAGUAACUGCUGUUAUGGAUCUCUUAUCAUUUUCAUUACCCAUUGACAAUUACCUUUUUUGGUUACGUAACAAAAUUGAAAAGUACUGUUUAUCUUUAAUUUGAUUGUAUUGCUGAAGAUUAAGAGGUUUUCAUUAUUAUGUUGAUAAAAAGGUUAUAAAUAUAAAAUAUUUUUCAUUGCCACAUGUUGUAUUCUGAUUCACCAAUUGUAGCAUUUUUGGUGGUCAUUCCCACCCCAAAUAUUCUUCCAAAAAGUUUUCUACGUCUUGUAUUUUAACUAAAUAAAAAAUCUCUUCCUAUUGGCUUAUUUUAUUGGUGUGACAAGUUUGACGUCCUGUCAUAUUUCGUAGUUGGUAUACAUAAAUAUUAAUAUGAUAAGACAUCCUAUCAGCUUCGUUAAAUACUUCAUUCUUUGAAGAUAUCAAAAACUUCAAUUUUUUGUUUAUAUGAUAAAACACUCCAAUUUAUUCCUUUAAGAUUUCGUAUUAACCCUGCAACCUUUAGAAUGUUCAACUGCCUAAAGUUUGUUAAGGCCCAUCUUAUAUUUGUGAAAUUUCUGCUUAUCACCACUAUGGUUUUGACUUUUUCUGCUUUACAAGUGGAGUCAGAACACGAGCACUACUGUGAUUUUAAUGGAAGAGUAGCUUCCAAAGUUCACAUUUAUGGAGCUAAACUAUUAAAUUUUCAGUAUGAAAAGAUUUUACCCUUAAUGUUAUUUAUUCAUAUAUGUUUUACGUAUGAAAGAUCUGCCAUAAUGUUAUGAAAUUUUGAUAUGACCCCUUUAUUAAGCAAACCAUUUAAAUGGUUAUAAAAUUAUUCAUUAGAUAUAUUUUGGGGUUAGGGUUCCGUCUUGUAGUACAAAAUGGGCAAUGGUGUAUGUCCUUUGUGAUCUGUGGGGAUCCUUUUCUCUUCAUCUUCUUCUUCUAGGUUCUGUUCGUGGCGAUAUUAGCAGUCUUUAUAAUGUGGCAAACAUAUGCUUCAGGAAUCAGAACAGAUUUUGAAUUGCAAACGAAUGAGAAUUUAUGGGUUAUAGGCAUUCACAGUGAUAUGUUGUUUCAUUUCUUCACAUAAUUUUAACUAGUCAUUGAUGGAACUGAUAUCAAGGCUUUCUUUUGCAGAAUUCGCACUGCCAGACAAAUAAUUUAACUAGUGGUUUCUCACUGAAUCAGGUAAAUUGCUUGUUCCUCUAUUAUUUUUGGCCUGCUUUCAAUUGUGACGUUUGAAAACUGAGUUUCGCCUGCCAGUGCUGCAGACUUUGGGACGAAGAAGCCGAGUCCGUGGAACUUCAGUCAAAUUUCUUCUUUCUUUCUAGGGAAAAUGUUCUGUAAUGUUUCUCUUUCUUCGUUUGUCAUGGUUCAAUGUAUCGGACCAACAAGGCAAUGGGCUUAAAUACUAGGGGUUCCAAUUUUAAACGGGCCCCUUUUUAUUCCAACAUCUAAUAUUGCGAGGAGGCUAGAAUGCAAGAAUUCUAUAGUGAGGGCCUUAUAUAAGGUCUCUAGGUGAGCCCCUAUCUCUUAAUCGUUGAAUCAAAUUGGUUAACUUGAUCCAACGAUUAAGGGAUAAGGGCUUGGCUAAGGGCCAUAUAUAAGGCACUCACUAUAGAAUGACUCGGCUAGAAUGAGGGGUUAUUAUGAGCAGGCCCUUAAUAGCCGUUCGAUUCAGUGCAGAGUUAAUAUUGGAUUGUUAGAUUGGAUCCCCCCAACAUAGCCGACUCAUUUUAUAGUGAGGGCCUUAUAUAUGGUCUUAGGUGAGGUCAUAUCUUUUAAUCAUUAGAUCUAACAGCUAAUCAAUUUGAUUCAACGGUUUAGAGAUAGGGUUUUAU
This 2947-nucleotide long non-coding RNA is filed under the name Prunus dulcis (almond). Its description in RNAcentral is "sRNA ncRNA". Lineage: Eukaryota; Viridiplantae; Streptophyta; Magnoliopsida; Rosales; Rosaceae. The record is from RNAcentral.